UAGAUGGCUGAGUUUGGUUUAAGGCGUAUGUUUUGAAAACAUAUUAAUUCUUUGAAUUACGCAAGUUCAAAUCUUGCU
RNAcentral lists this transfer RNA (78 nucleotides) under Emiliania huxleyi. It matches the Rfam family "tRNA", at positions 7 to 64 of the family's 71-position model. From Rfam's summary of the family: Transfer RNA (tRNA) molecules are approximately 80 nucleotides in length. The record is from RNAcentral. Lineage: Eukaryota; Haptophyta; Isochrysidales; Noelaerhabdaceae.